RNAcentral lists this ribosomal RNA (384 nucleotides) under uncultured marine Chaetocerotaceae. RNAcentral's name for it is "SSU rRNA". It matches the Rfam family "Eukaryotic small subunit ribosomal RNA", at positions 587 to 972 of the family's 1831-position model. Lineage: Eukaryota; Bacillariophyta; Thalassiosirophyceae; Chaetocerotales; Chaetocerotaceae. The record is from RNAcentral.
AGCUCCAAUAGCGUAUAUUUAAGUUGUUGCAGUUAAAAAGCUCGUAGUUGGAUUUCUGGUGGGAGGGAUCGGUCCUGCAUUCUUUGUAGGAACUUGUAUCCUCUCCGGCCAUCCUUGGGUGGAUCUUGUCUGGCAUUAAGUUGUCAGGCAGGGGAUGCCCAUCGUUUACUGUGAAAAAAUUAGAGUGUUCAAAGCAGGCUUAUGCCAUUGAAUAUAUUAGCAUGGAAUAAUAAGAUAGGGCCCUGGUACUAUUUUGUUGGUUUGCGUACCGAGGUAAUGAUUAAUAGGGACAGUUGGGGGUAUUUGUAUUCAGUAUUCAGUGGUGAAAUACUUAGACCUACGGAAGACAAACUACUGCGAAAGCAUUUACCAAGGAUGUUUUCA